Cyprinus carpio (common carp) is the source of this 1653-nucleotide long non-coding RNA. Lineage: Eukaryota; Metazoa; Chordata; Actinopteri; Cypriniformes; Cyprinidae. The record is from Ensembl.
UACUCUGUUUAUCUGUAAUCAAGACAUUUUAUAAAUGUGAUGUAAUUGUUGUGUUGAUUUGUAUAAUUUUUUUUUAUUAGUUAUGAGAAAGACAUAUCAACGUCCACACCAUCGAAAAGUGGAUUUACAAUGGCACCACCACCUGUAUCCACUAUUGUCUCGGAGUCGCUUUCUGACCGAGAUGAUGACUUCUCAGUCCCUGGAGUUGAAGAGUUGGAUAGUAGCAGCGUACAGGAUAAAAACAUUCAUUACAUGUGAUUCUGACAUGAUGUCACUACAUGCACUGUGCUCCUUCCUCUCCGCUCGUCUCAGGUAAAUAAUGCGUCUUCCAACUCAGUGGUCAGAGUCGCGCGUUCAUGUGUUUUGGGGGCGUGGCUUUGGAAGGAGCCCAGAAUGGAGGGGGUGGAGUGAAUGGAAAUAAUGAGCUGUGUUUAAAACAGUCGUGAGAGGUCUACAGACACUCGAUUUUUAUACUUUCUUUUUCAGAGUACUUACAUUUUAAUUAUGUAUUGAUAUAUAUAUAUAUAAAGUUUAAACAAAUUUGGAAAAAAAGUUUUUUAUACAUUUUUUACCUACCCUGCCUUUAAAGGGUAACAUCUCAGCAAAAUUCUGUUUCACCGGGGUCUGAACCGAACCUUCAUGAUCACAUUACCUAUGAACUGACAUAAUAUUAUAAAAAUACACUUGGGAAGGCAAAGAGUUGGGAUUUUUUUUUAAUGUUUCUGAAAGAAGUCUCUUAUGCUCACCUAUAGGCUUAAUUUAUUUAAUUAAAAAAGUAAUAUUGUAAAUGUUAUCAAAAGUAAUUAAAUAUUAUGAAAAUAUAUAACAUUUUCUAUUUGAACAUAUAUUAAAAUGUAAUGUAUUCCUGUGAUAGCAAAGCUAAUUUGCGCCAGUUGCUUCAGUGCGAAUAGUUCAAAAUCGUUUAUUUUAAGAUAGCGGCUAUUUGCACUAAGUGUAGCCUAAAUGGCGAUAGAGGCUAUUUACACUAAGUGAAAAUAGCAUAUUUUCUUAGCGAUAGAUGCUGUUUACACUAAGUGCAAAUAGCGAUGAAUGUUAUUUACACUAAGUGCAAAUAGAUAUAUAUUCUAUUUAAACUGUUAAAAUAGCAGGAUUUUCUGCUAUUUACACUACUUAUUGCAAAUAGUGGCAAUUAUCUGCACCUCAGUAUUGUAGUACACAGUGUUGGGUAAGUUACUUUCAAAAAGUAAUUAAUUACUAUUACUAAUUACAUCAUCAUUAUUGUAUUUAAAUUACUUUACUAAUUACUCUGAAAAGUAACUUAGUUACUCAAUAAGUAACUUAAUUAUUUAAAUCGCUAAUUAGGCUACAUCUUAAAAUCCCUAUAAACCUUAAUAGAAAUUAAACUAUUUAUUCUUUCAAUUUGAGUCAAACAUAGAAUAGUUUAGCCUUUUAGCUUUAAAACAACUGUAAUACUUAAACAUUUUUAUAUAUAAAAUGUACAUAUAUAUAUAUGUAAAAUGUAACUUUCUUUGGUUAACAAAUAGAAAUACUCUGAAUAAUAACAUAUCUGAAUAACAAAAAAGCUUAAGAAAAGUUAAACAAUACAUUUCAGUUUGUUCAGUACGGAGCCCCGCACAUGACAUGCAAGAAAAGAUAAAUAAAUUGUGUGCACGAUUAACUAAUUAAUUCCCU